AUGGCCAUCUCACCCAGCUCGGAGCUCCUCUCCCAGCCCCAACAAUGGCCGCUCCUCCUCCUUCUGGCACUCGUCUCCCUCGUGCUCUUAACGAGGAGACUGAGCAACAAAGGGCUCAAGCUACCGCCAGGCCCAGCCCGGGCUCCAAUCCCGGGGAACCUGCACCAGCUAGGCGUGCUGCCGCACCGGAGCUUACGGGAUCUUGCGCGGAAGCACGGGCCGGUGAUGCAGCUGCAGCUCGGCACCGUGCGGACGGUGGUGGUGUCGUCGGCUGAGGCGGCGCGCGAGGUGAUGAAGACGCACGACGAGGACUGCUGCACCCGACCCGUGUCCCCCGGGAUGAAGCGGUUGUCCUACGGCCUCAAGAACGUCGGGUUCGCGCCAUACGGCGCCUACUGGCACGCCAUGCGCAAGUUCUUCGUGGUCGAGCUCUUCGGCGUGCGCCAUGUCGAGGCAGCAUGGCAUGCACGCCAGCAUCAGGUGGACAAACUAAUGAACACCUUGAGCGGCUUGGCCGGAGAGACGGUAGCGCUCAAGAAGCACAUCUUAAGCCUGGCCGAUGGCAUCAUCGGCAUGCUUGGAUUUGGCGACAUGCACAACAGCGACAAGUUCCCACACCACAAGAACUUGGAGCACGUGCUUGAGGAGGCCAUACACGUGCAGUCCAGCUUUUCCGCGGAGGACUAUUUCCCCAACAUCGUCGGCCGCCUAGUCGACCAAAUCACUGGCCUCGCAUCUCGUCGUGAGCGGGUCUUCAAGCUGCUUGAUACAUUCUUCGAGGUCAUCAUUGAGCAGCAUCUUGACCCUCAACGUGUCAAGCCACACAACGGUGACCUCGUUGACCGUCUCAUCGAUCUAUGGAAGGACACCAGUGGCAACCUCAACAUCACAAGAGACCAUGUCAAGGGCAACAUAUUUGGCACGUUCAUUGGUGGCUCGGACACGACCACGGCGACGAUUCUAUGGGCGAUGGCAGAGCUGACCCGGAAUCCACGACUACUGGAGAGGGUGCAAGACGAGAUCAGGGCCGUGGUGGGAGGCAAUGACAGGGUGCGACCAGACGAUCUGUCCAAGCUGGUCUACCUCAAGAUGGUGGUGAAGGAGACCCUACGGCUGCACCCACCAGCGACGAUGCUACUGCCGAGGGAGGCCAUGCGGGACAUCCGAAUUGGGGGCUAUGACGUAUUGGCCAAGGCGCGAAUCUAUGUGAACGUGUGGGCCAUUUGUAGGGACCCGGCAAGCUGGCCAGACGACCCGGAGGAUUUCAAACUGGAGAGGUUUGAGACGAGCGAGAUAGACUUCAAGGGAGGGCAUUUUGAGCUAACUCCAUUCGGCGCAGGGCGGCGGAUAUGCCCUGCACUGUCUAUGAGCACGGCCACCGUGGAGUUCACUCUGGCCAACCUGCUAUACCUCUUCGAUUGGGCGCUCCCCGAGGGGAUCGUGAUUAGCGUGCAGGAGGAAGGCGAGCUUAUCCCCCUCCUACAGACACCGCUCUUGCUGGUGCCCACCCCAUACCAGCACAUCUGA
RNAcentral lists this ribosomal RNA (1527 nucleotides) under Triticum aestivum (bread wheat). RNAcentral's name for it is "partial small subunit ribosomal RNA". The record is from RNAcentral. Lineage: Eukaryota; Viridiplantae; Streptophyta; Magnoliopsida; Poales; Poaceae.